CUUCAUGAUAAGGAAUUUAAGCUUCCAUAUCAGAAGCCUAUGCCCUGUUUGGGUGAUUAUGAAGCUUGCCGGGCAUGCUACAAGGAGCAUGGUAAUGAUAGAUAUUUUGAAAUGUGCUCCUUUAACUAGGAGCUAUUAUGAUUGUGUUCACAGAGUUAAGCAGCAGGUAAGUCUGGCAGAUCAAUAGUUUUUCAUGGGGG
RNAcentral lists this unclassified non-coding RNA (200 nucleotides) under Hevea brasiliensis (rubber tree). Lineage: Eukaryota; Viridiplantae; Streptophyta; Magnoliopsida; Malpighiales; Euphorbiaceae. The record is from RNAcentral.